Molecule: long non-coding RNA, 446 nt
Filed under: Sinocyclocheilus anshuiensis
Lineage: Eukaryota; Metazoa; Chordata; Actinopteri; Cypriniformes; Cyprinidae
Description: lncRNA (ENSSANG00000010691.1)
Source: RNAcentral
GAUCUCAAACAGUUUGUAUUUGUUUGUGUUGUGAGUAUUUGCAGUGUGUUUCUAUUUGUUUGUGUUGUUAGUAUUUGCAGUGUGUUUCUGUUUUUGCAGCGUGUUUGUAUUUGUUUGUGUUGUGAGUAUUUGUGGUGCGUUUUUGUUUUUACAGCAUGUUUGUAUUUGUUUGUGUUGUGAGUAUUUGCAGUGUGUUUCUGUUUUUGCAGAGUGUUUGUAUUUGUUUGUGUUGCGAGUAUUUGCAGUGUGUUUCUGUUUUUGCAGCGUUUGUGUUGUGAGUAUUUGCAGUGUGUUUCUGUUUUUGCAGCGUGUUUGUAUUUGUUUGUGUUGUGAGUAUUUGCAGUGUUUCUGUUUUUGCAGUGUGUUUGUAUUUGUUUGUGUUGUGAGUAUUUGCAGUGUGUUUCUGUUUUUGCAGCGUGUUUGUAUUUGUUUGUGUUGUGAGUAUU